AGAGCGAACGCUGGCGGCAGGCUUAACACAUGCAAGUCGAGCGGGCGUAGCAAGUACGUCAGCGGCAGACGGGUGAGUAACGCGUGGGAACGUACCUUUUGGUUCGGAACAACCCAGGGAAACUUGGGCUAAUACCGGAUAAGCCCUUACGGGGAAAGAUUUAUCGCCGAAAGAUCGGCCCGCGUCUGAUUAGCUAGUUGGUGAGGUAAUGGCUCACCAAGGCGACGAUCAGUAGCUGGUCUGAGAGGAUGAUCAGCCACAUUGGGACUGAGACACGGCCCAAACUCCUACGGGAGGCAGCAGUGGGGAAUAUUGGACAAUGGGCGCAAGCCUGAUCCAGCCAUGCCGCGUGAGUGAUGACGGCCUUAGGGUUGUAAAGCUCUUUCGCUCGGGACGAUAAUGACGGUACCGAGAUAAGAAGCCCCGGCUAACUUCGUGCCAGCAGCCGC
RNAcentral lists this ribosomal RNA (449 nucleotides) under uncultured bacterium. RNAcentral's name for it is "SSU rRNA". It matches the Rfam family "Bacterial small subunit ribosomal RNA", at positions 26 to 518 of the family's 1533-position model. The record is from RNAcentral.